This 23-nucleotide microRNA is filed under the name Cavia porcellus (domestic guinea pig). Its description in RNAcentral is "cpo-miR-660-3p". Its record names the gene cpo-miR-660-3p. The record is from miRBase by way of RNAcentral. Lineage: Eukaryota; Metazoa; Chordata; Mammalia; Rodentia; Caviidae.
AUCUCCUGUAUGCAUGGAUUAUA